Molecule: long non-coding RNA, 607 nt
Filed under: Phascolarctos cinereus (koala)
Lineage: Eukaryota; Metazoa; Chordata; Mammalia; Diprotodontia; Phascolarctidae
Description: lncRNA (ENSPCIG00000004830.2)
Source: RNAcentral
AUUUACUUGACUAUAGCCGUCUAAAUAAAAGGGGGCUUACACGGAAACAUCCAGCUCCUAGGAGAAGCAAAAGCCCCCAUUACAUAGAUAUCAUCUUCAUUUCUGUUUCCUCUUAAAACUCUUAAAAAACACAUCCUGAGGGUUGGGAAGCCUCUGUUUUCUUUCUUUCCUUUUCUAUCAGCUCACUCUCCUAUCUCUACUCUUGGACUUAGCGCUGAAUUUUAAUAAGGUGAGGCUGGUGGAGGAUAAAGAAAAGAAGAAACCUCCAGCUCUUGAAACUUCCAGAAGAAAGUUCUGUUUAAAUCUCAAGGGUAAAUGGGAAUAAGAAGCAAGCAUACAAUCCAAUGAGCUCCUGUACUGAUUCAUGAUCGUCCUGUCCUCUCCAAUGGCCUUCUGCCCCUUGUGACUCCAAUCUCUAGUUCCCAGGAAGGAGCAGAUGCUGGACAGUAUGGGAUCAGAAUUAAAGAAAUCACUUCAAGUUGCAGAUGGAAGAAUAUGUUUGCAAUGAAAAGAAGAACUCCCAGAAAUGUGGCUUCUUUACACUAGGACUUUUUCAUUUUUUCUAAAGCACAAAAUGAAAUGUCCUAUUUGGAAACCUAUGCUGUCA